Long non-coding RNA from Ailuropoda melanoleuca (giant panda), 1092 nucleotides. RefSeq lists it as uncharacterized. The transcript has 3 exons. Lineage: Eukaryota; Metazoa; Chordata; Mammalia; Carnivora; Ursidae. The record is from RefSeq and is a predicted model, not a curated record.
UCUCAGGACAUGCCCUGAAACAAGGGUCACCUUGCCCAGCAAAAACCAGUCCUCCCAAUCCAUAGGGACAGGUGGAAGCUCAGUGAAAGGAGCACAGGAAAAAUUCCGGGCCGUUGUCAGUGUGUCGACAUGCCAAGGUGGGAAGAGGCAUGCCAGAAUCAGCUCAAGACAGAGGAACGGGCGGCCGGCAGCAAGAAGAACUGACCCAUAUUUGCCUGGGACUGAACGAAUAGAAGCAUAUAAAAGAAUGAAUUCUCUGCUUUGACUGUCCUGGUACGUGAAACGCCAGAGCAUCCUACAGGAACAUACGAGACUCAGCAUGUUACAGGUACCCCCCUCCCUCGGAGAGCCUCCCUAUCCGGUGCCUGAGAAGACAAGGGCUUUGCAGCCUACUUGCCCAUGGAACAGAGUUUUCCAGUGACAGGUAGAAACUGUGGGUGAGAGCGAUAACCAAGGAUCUACAAAGAAAAGAGAGUCUAGACAACCCAGAUUACAGAAUAGAACUUUCUAGUCUCAGCACACAGUCAUCCCGACUUCUGCUUGCUCGUCUUCUUGAGGACAGCUAACUCUCCGGAUGCAAGCUGAAGCUCCCGACUUGUCUAACAUUUACCCAAGACUUCCCCUGAAGCGACAGAGUGGUGUUUGGUUCCAACGGGUUCUGCAACUUGAAGAGAUUCUAUAGCUGGGUGUCUGGGUUGGGAGACGUGAGCUCAGAGGCAGGUGAAACUAAGGAAGAGUGAGGUGGGAAGACGUUGGAAGAGGGCAGCUCAGAACUCCAUGGAGGAUAAACACGAGAUUCCUGCAGAAGGAACCUUCCAGGUCCCUUCUGACAAGCGGGAGGGGAGGGGAAGAUGGGUGGAAAUAGGACAAGCCUGGAAGUGGAGGUCUCACCUCGCUGGGCACCCCCCAACCCCGGCGUGCCACUGGGUCCAUGCCUGAGGCUUGUUCCUGGUGACCAGGGGUGACUAUUUCCCUGUCUGAUGUGUCAUAUUAGUAAUUGAUAGUAAAGUAACACGGCAUGAUUUUGCCCUUUAUCACCAUAACACUUGGACUUUUCAGGAAUGCGUAUCUUUCCUCUCUCCAAAAAGGAGU